Molecule: RNA transcript, 1832 nt
Organism: Oryza brachyantha (malo sina)
Lineage: Eukaryota; Viridiplantae; Streptophyta; Magnoliopsida; Poales; Poaceae
Gene name: glutathione S-transferase T3-like
Exons: 6
Source: RefSeq, a predicted model, not a curated record
GCUCCCGCGCUUCUCCUCUUCCUCCCGCGCUCGCGAAAUUGCAUACCUAUAUGACAGAUCUCAAAUCUCUCCAUAUUUUCUCCCUCAUCCGCCGGCCGUCGAAUCAAUGGCCACCUCGACCACAGCAACACUACACACCCAUCUUGUAUAAUCCCCCCUCCGCACACGCGAGAGAGAUCUGCCUAAAUCCCUAGUUCCCCACCUCCAGCUCCAACAACAUGUCCAUCCGCUCGAAGAGGAAGGUGGCGCCGCCUCCUCAGGCCAUUGCGAGCUCUACAGAUCCUCUCGUAGUUCCUACGCCACAAGUAGCGCCGUAUCCAUAUGGUCUCUGGUUUCCACCGCCGCCAACACCUUGGCUUGCUUCUCCACAAUCACACGCCAUGUCUGGCUCUCCUGCUUUCCCUCCUCCCACGGCCGGCAAGAUUGAUGUGCACAGUGACCUUGAAGAAUGGGGGGUUGAAUCUCGUCCGCCCGGCGGUUUCGUUAAUUUUAUCAAUACCCCAUCAAACAAUGUACAUCAUGUAGCCGAGGGGAGUCUAUCACAACCCAUCAAUGUUGACAAUGGAGAUGUUUCUAGGACUGAGAAACGCUUGUCUUGGAUGAAGGAUGAAGACGUGAGAUUGAUCAGUGCUUGGUUGAACAACUCAAAUGAUCCUAUAGAAUCAAAUUUCAAGAAGAACGAUAAAUAUUGGGGUGAUGUUGCUGCAGCUUACAAUAGCACUACACCAAUAAACCGAGCUAGACUAGUGAAGCAUAUUAAGGACCAUUUUGGUAAAAUUAGGAAGAAGGUCGGGAAUUUUUGUUGCUCUUGGAAGGAGGCUAAUUCAUUAUAUGCUAGUGGGGAGUCUACUGAAGAUCUGAUGAAUAAGGCACACAAGAUAUAUGAGAAUGACUUCAAGGAUGGUCCAUUCUUGUUUAUGCACUGUUGGAAUGAACUAAAAAAACAACCAAAGUGGCAUGCAUAUUUAGAGCAGCUUGACAUGUCAAACAAAAGGAAGGCAGAUUACAAUGAUGUUAUCCCCCUUGAUGAUGAAGAAGAUAUCCCACGACCAAUGGGAUCAAAGGCAGCUAAGGCACAACGUAGUGGCAAAGGAAAGAGCAAGAUCGAAGUUUAUACAGCUGAGCUAGAAGAUGACAUCCGUAAAUUUAUGGAUGCACAUGCAGCAGCCAAGGAAGGGCAGAGUGAAGUGUUGGAGACCCAAAAACGUGUUUCUAGUGACAACCUUGCAACUAAGAAGCUUGGUCGCCAAACAGCUAUGAUUGAAACUUAUCGAGACUUGAUGAACAAAGACACAACUAAGAUGCCUGACGAUGUGAGGUCUGAGUUUGUACAGAUGCUGAAAUGCAUGAGAGAAGAGAUAUUCAACAAAAAGCAGUGAGGAGAUUUGCUAUUCGUGCUCGUUCAAUCCAUACUCAGCUGAAAAAAGAUUUAAUUGAGCAUAUUUGGAAUCGGUUUGGAAAUAGACAGUAAACAUAAACAUGGAACAUGUUCUGCUGUGGAAUUCAUGGUGUUGCACUUCUUACAGCAAGAUGAUGAUAUUUCAGGCAAUGGUCGUAUGAUGCAAUGGUUCAAUCAUGGGUCGUACGUACACGAAUGAUGAAGAAAUCGUUAUCUCAUCUAUUGAAAAUCAUAUUUAUGUAUUUUGCUUAAUGUCACAUUGUUUGUGUGACUUUUGGAUUUGUGAACCAUUAAGUACGUUUUGCUUUAUCCUCUAUUACCUUGUCGGUUAUUUAAUCUUGCACUACUAUGUCCUUCUGUUUAGACCUGAGAUGACAUUAUGCAUUAAUUUACUUGGUUGCUAUUGUAUUUCAAUUAUCUGUGGUGCCUUGUA